Arvicanthis niloticus (Nile rat) is the source of this 107-nucleotide small nuclear RNA. The record is from RefSeq and is a predicted model, not a curated record. Lineage: Eukaryota; Metazoa; Chordata; Mammalia; Rodentia; Muridae.
GUGCUCACUUGGGCAGCACACUUGCUAAAGUUGGAAUGAUACGGACAUAAUUCGCACGGCCCCUGUGCAAGGCUGACACGCAGAUUUGUGAAGGGUUCCGUAUUUUG